UACGUAGGGGGCUAGCGUUGUCCGGAAUUAUUGGGCGUAAAGAGCGUGUAGGCGGCCCGGUAAGUCCGCUGUAAAAGUCAAAGGCUCAACCUUUGAAUGUCAGUGGAUACUGCCGGGCUAGAGUCCGGAAGAGGCGAGUGGAACUCCUGGUGUAGCGGUGGAAUGCGCAGAUAUCAGGAAGAACACCAACGGCGAAGGCAGCUCGCUGGGACGGUACUGACGCUGAGACGCGAAAGCGUGGGGAGCGAACAGG
RNAcentral lists this ribosomal RNA (253 nucleotides) under uncultured bacterium. RNAcentral's name for it is "partial 16S ribosomal RNA". It matches the Rfam family "Bacterial small subunit ribosomal RNA", at positions 524 to 776 of the family's 1533-position model. The record is from RNAcentral.